Molecule: long non-coding RNA, 799 nt
Organism: Dermacentor andersoni
Lineage: Eukaryota; Metazoa; Arthropoda; Arachnida; Ixodida; Ixodidae
Source: RefSeq, a predicted model, not a curated record
UUGCUUAUUGACAUGACUCCGUUCCGUAGAGGAAUUGUAACAUGUAUUUGCGACGUACUCAGCUGAAGUUAGCUACGGAUAAAAUCAAUAAUUUCUGCCGUCUGGAUAAGCGCUAACUCAAAGAUGACCGUGACUGCACGGAAAACGAAAUAACGACCGCAGCUGCACGUGUGCUGUACCGCCGUUUGCGACUGCGUGAAUAGGCUCAGCGGAUGAGCUGAGCCUCCCUACGCAUUGCCUCGUUUGCCGCAUUUCGGCAUGGACGUGAGGGUGGUCUUACUUCUUGCUUUGCUCGUUGGAAUAACCUAUGCCAAUCCUCGCUGCUGGAACGUAAAAAAUGGAGUCGUCUGCUUCGGCAAGAAUUACUACUACAGUAAGACAACCGAUCCGGAUGGAAGCGUUCAAGAACAAAUGUCUUACAGCUCCAGCCAAGCGAUAAUCGUUUAGCAGGUUACAGCACUUGCUUUGAUGUUUUCAUAGCAGAACUUUUCCCUGCGGAUCUUUCCCUGUGGUAUGUUCGUGGUCCCAAUGGAUCGUUGCCAUGGAGUACAACGCGGCCGGACUGCGCCUUCAGGAGCAAGACCGGUCCAUGCUACCAUGCACUGAGUUCCUCAGGUCCUGUAGCCUGAGGCAAUGGCAUUCGCCACCUCCUCGCUUGUCUAUCGCUCUUCUCCGUGUCUGCAAUCCUGGUUGAGCCGCAAUGCUCGCGCUAGGUUUAAGAAUAAGUUGUUGAACUAAUAUAUUUUCAUUUUGAUCUCAUUAAGGUGACUUCUAAUAAAAAUUGUUUGUUUCCAAAUGA